This 545-nucleotide long non-coding RNA is filed under the name Phoenix dactylifera (date palm). RNAcentral describes it as "long non-coding RNA (PDAC_LNC021910)". Lineage: Eukaryota; Viridiplantae; Streptophyta; Magnoliopsida; Arecales; Arecaceae. The record is from RNAcentral.
UCUAUAUACAUAAUCAUAAAUCUGAUUCGAAACAAAUCAUAUUCAUCUCAUCAGCCUUUAGCUACGACCACACUUAUACCCUGUGGCUAGGCCAGAAACCGAACCACACUUAUACCCUGCAGAGUGGGCCAGAAUACCGCACUUAUACCCUGCGGAGUGGGCCAGAAUACCGCACUUAUACCCUGCGGAGUGGGCCAGAAUACCACACCUAUACCCUGUGGUGGGGCCAGAAUUGCCAAUGCAUAACCCCCUAUUGGCAGGGUCCAGAACAUAACCAGGCUGAGAGUUCUAAAUCUGAUGCACAUCAAAAUUCUUUUGUAACAUAAUAGAUAUAUCAUAAUUCGAUCUAAAUAUGCAUAUACGAUACAAAAAUAGUAAUAUAAUAAUAGUCCGAAAAAUAUUAUUCCAAUUCACAUAUCCAUUUUUCAUUCAAAGCAUCAUCUCGUAAAAUUCAUAAAUCACAUAUAAAGUCAUUAACAAUUUAUUCGAUGCAAAAAUAAUAUUAUAUAAAUGAAGAGUCUAGAGAAGGCAGUUCAUUACUUACU